Molecule: ribosomal RNA, 540 nt
Filed under: uncultured bacterium
Lineage: Bacteria
Description: partial 16S ribosomal RNA
Rfam family: Bacterial small subunit ribosomal RNA
Source: RNAcentral
UGGGGAAUUUUGGACAAUGGGGGAAACCCUGAUCCAGCCAUCCCGCGUGUGCGAUGAAGGCCUUCGGGUUGUAAAGCACUUUUGGCAGGAAAGAAACGUCGCGGGUUAAUACCCCGCGAAACUGACGGUACCUGCAGAAUAAGCACCGGCUAACUACGUGCCAGCAGCCGCGGUAAUACGUAGGGUGCAAGCGUUAAUCGGAAUUACUGGGCGUAAAGCGUGCGCAGGCGGUUCGGAAAGAAAGAUGUGAAAUCCCAGAGCUUAACUUUGGAACUGCAUUUUUAACUACCGGGCUAGAGUGUGUCAGAGGGAGGUGGAAUUCCGCGUGUAGCAGUGAAAUGCGUAGAUAUGCGGAGGAACACCGAUGGCGAAGGCAGCCUCCUGGGAUAACACUGACGCUCAUGCACGAAAGCGUGGGGAGCAAACAGGAUUAGAUACCCUGGUAGUCCACGCCCUAAACGAUGUCAACUAGCUGUUGGGGGCCUUCGGGCCUUGGUAGCGCAGCUAACGCGUGAAGUUGACCGCCUGGGGAGUACGGUC